Aethalodelphis obliquidens (Pacific white-sided dolphin) is the source of this 4459-nucleotide RNA transcript. It is a transcript of the gene named interleukin 1 receptor associated kinase 3, with no coding region annotated. NCBI's taxonomy places the organism in Eukaryota, Metazoa, Chordata, Mammalia, Artiodactyla, Delphinidae. The record is from RefSeq and is a predicted model, not a curated record. The transcript has 13 exons.
UCACGUCCCAAAGCCGGAGGAGCGAGAGGACUGUUUAAAACUGAAAGCCAACCUGCAGGGGGAAGCCGGGGCCGGGCGAGCCAGCGCCGGGCCGGGCCGGGCGAGCCCAGGGGCCUCUCCGGGGAGCGGCGCUGUGUGUCACGUGGGGCCCGCCCAGGCGCGGCCCGGACUCCGCGCGUGCGGCCGUCUUAGCAGCCGUCGUGGAAGCAGGAUUUCCGCGGUUGUGCAACGGCAUCGCGCUUCUGCGGAGAGCCUGGGCUCCGCGUUCCUCCCUGGCCCGGCCCCUCCUCUCCGGCAGCCCAGCCAUGGCCUGGACCGUGGCGGCGGCGGCGGCGGCGGCGGCGGGGAGCCGCGGGGCCCGCGGCGCGCUCUCGGCGCACACGCUCCUGUUCGACAUGCCGCCCGCGCUGCUGGGCGAGUUCUGCGCUGUGCUGGACAGCUGCGACGGCGCGCUCGGCUGGCGCGGCCUCGCGGAGCGACUUUCAAGCAGCUGGCUGGAUGUUCGUCACAUUGAAAAAUAUGUAGACCAGGGUAAAAGUGGAACAAGAGAAUUACUUUGGUCCUGGGCACAGAAAAACAAGACUAUUGGUGACCUUUUACAGAUUCUCCAGGAGAUGGGGCAUCAUCGAGCUAUCCAUUUAAUUGCAACUUAUGGGGCAGCCUUGAAUCCUUCAGAGCAGAGUCAUCAGGGAAAAGGAUUUCCGAUCAUGUUAUCCAAGGAAACAGCUAGUGUCACAGCGGAUAAUGUUCUUAUUCCUGAACAUAAUGAAAAAGGAAUAUUGUUUAAAUCCUCCAUCAGCUUUCACAACGUCAUAGAAGGAACCAGAAAUUUCCACAAAGACUUUUUAAUCGGAGAAGGGGAAAUUUUUGAGGUAUACAGAGUGGAAAUCCAAAACCGAACAUAUGCCAUUAAAUUAUUUAAACAGGGGAAAACAAUGCAAUGUAAGAAACAAUGGAAGAGCUUUUUAUCUGAGCUUGAAGUUUUACUGCUGUUCCAACAUCCAAACAUAUUGGAGUUGGCUGCAUAUUUUACAGAGAGUGAGAAGUUUUGCCUGGUUUAUCCGUAUAUGAGAAAUGGAUCACUUUUUGACAGAUUACAGUGUGUAGGUGACACAGCCCCACUCUCUUGGCACAUUCGAAUCAGUAUAUUAAUAGGAACAACCAAAGCCGUUCAGUACUUGCACAACAUGGAACCGUGCUCCGUCAUCUGUGGCAGUAUAUCAAGUGCAAACAUACUUCUGGAUGAUCAGUUUCAACCCAAACUAACUGAUUUUGCCAUGGCACACAUCCGACCCCACCUAGAACCUCAGAGCUCUGUCCUAAGCAUGACCAGCAGCAGCAGUAAGCAUUUGUGGUACAUGCCAGAAGAGUAUAUCAGACAGGGCAAACUUUCUGUUAAAACAGAUGUCUACAGCUUUGGAAUUGUAAUAAUGGAAGUUCUGACAGGUUGUAAAGUGGUGUUAGAUGAGCCAAAGCAUAUCCAGCUGAGGGAUCUCCUUAUAGAAUUGCUGGAGAAGAGAGGCCUCGAUUCAUGUAUCUCAUUUCUAGAUAAGAAAGUACAUCCCUGUCCUCGGAAUUUUUCCGCCAAGCUGUUCCCUUUGGCAGGCCAGUGUGCUGCAACACGGGCAAAAUUAAGACCCUCGAUGGAUGAAGUCCUAACUGUUCUUGAAAGUACUCAAGCCAGCUUGUAUUUUGCGGAAGAUCCUCCCACAUCCUUGAAGUCCUUCAGGAGUCCUUCUCCUCUGUUCUUCGAUAAUGUACCAAGUAUUCCAGUGGAAGACGAUGAAAACCAGAAUAAUCCAUCGCUGCCUCACGAUAAAGGUUGGAGAAAAGGGAGAACGACUCAGAAAACUCCCUUUGAAUGCAGCCAGUCUGAGGUUACAUUCCUGGGCUUUGACAGAAAGACAGGGAGUGGGAGGAAUGAGGACACUAGCAAUGUGCCCAGUUCUGCUUGUGAAGAAAGUUGGUCUCCAAAGCCUGCAGCUCCAUCCCAGGAUGUGAGGGCCUCUGGUGUGAAUAGGGACCCUUCUGCGGAAGUUCCAGGGCAUUCCUACAGGAGCAUGCCAGUGGAGGCCAGCUGUUCCUCUGAAUUUUCCUGGAAUGAAUGUGAACAGUGCAAAAAGGCAUCAGUUUCACCAGAAGAUAAAGAAGAAAGCAAGUAUUGCUGAGGCACCUGAGUACAGGUCUCAUCCUGGGAAGACAUUGUCUUUAUUGGGAGCGCCAAGAGGAUGAUUGAUGGUGAACUUGGGUAAUGCAGAUCAAUGAUCGGAACAAUUCUAUUCCAUUCCUUCCAACUUGUAGAACAGAGUGGCUUAAAGUUUUGUUUUAGCACGAUCAUUGCCUCAUGAUCAAACCUGGACUAAAUUAGAACCAUUCAGAAUUACUUAAGAUUGUAGACUGUGACUUCAGACCAACAAAACAAUCAAAACCUACCAAAAUGGAAGUGGAUUCCAGUGUCUUCUCCCUCAGCAUCCACGUGACUCCUCAGAGCCUCCAGUCUGCCAAAUUUCUACGUUUGCCUGACUCUUCGCUCAGCUGUGCCCUCGGUAACAACUGGCAACUGGUAAUAACGCUUUUAUUCCAAUGCCCUUUAUUAUUUUUGUCUUCCAACCCUAGUGACUGACGCUCCCACGUAGAUUUGUCUGGUAUCCCCCGAGUAACAAGUUUUGAGAGGGCUUAUAAAAGAAAAGUCCAAGAGGCAAAAACCAGACAAGCUGAAAUACAGAAGAAUGGAGAAGAGAUCACAGUACACAACUGAGAAUAUCUGUAAUUAAAUAUUAGUUGAUUUUGGCAAAAUCUUUAAAAGUUACCCUUAAGAUCUAUACUUGUUUCAAGUACUUCAAGAAGCAACCUACAGUUAAAUUAGGGCUUCCCUGGUGGCGCAGUGGUUGAGAGUCCGCCUGCCGAUGCAGGGGACACGGGUUCGUGCCCCGGUCCAGGAGGCCCACGUACCGUGAAAAAAAAAAAACCCCAAAACAAAAAAAAAAAAACACAAAAAAAGAAGCAACCUACAGUUAAAUUAAAGAUCUUUGGGGAGAUAAAUUUUUCACCCUUAAGUAUCCAUACCCCAGACUUGUGCCCCACUAUCCGUUUCUAGCCUACACAAAAAUUUUAACUUGCUGAAUUUAGUAGACUCUGGUUAUCGUUAUCAACUGAAAAUAAAACUUGCAACAGUGCAGAGAAAGAAUGGCUGACUACCGUGCUUUUCUCCAGCAGGUAGAGGUGGAGGCUAUAUAACAAUGCUAACGGGAUCCACAAUAACACAUGAAUUAUAAAGGGAAAAAGCAAAGUAUACACUAGGGUAAAAUACCAAUUCUGAUGAGCUCUAUCUGGGACUGUUGUGGACAUAACGAAGUUAUGGAGUGUGUAAAUAUAAAAACACUUCCUAGGCAAAUCCAGCUGAAAGAUAAAUGAAUGUUGGCUUCUUAAGAGCAUAACAUAGCCACAAAUUUUGUUCUUUUAUACUAAAUUAAUGUGUUGGUGCUAUUCUUGUGUUUCCUAGAAGGGAAAUGCCAGGUAAUCCCAAUGGUACCAUCAUUACAAAGAUUUCAACAAAAGAGAAGUUAAGGAAUCCAAUACAUAAAUACAGUGUAAAAUGGAAUCAUUCUGAACAGCACGUUGGAGUGAGGUAGAAAUAACUUCUGGUGGUCUUCCUAGUCCCAUUAUUCACUAAUGAUAAUUUCAUGUCCUUCUGAAAGUGUACAGGCAAAUUAUGGUGUACUUGCAGGACCAUUAAACACUGGAUCUUGUGAUGUUUUUAAAUGUUUGUAACAGGAUUUUUAAAUAAGGGCUGCAGUGACUUCAGCCAAGGGCAAAUAUUAAUCAAUGACCUUUUAUUGUUUUUAUUUUAUAUACCUGGAGGAAAGGGCGUGCUUACCUCCCAGUAUGCAUACAAAGCCAAAUAUGCACGUUUACGUUAACUCGCUGCCUGCAGCUCUGAGGCCAUUUGCUUUGUGAUGGGAGGCAGAGCGAUCUCUGACAUUUUCAUUAUGCAUCUGUCUGGCAGUUUGAAGCAGGAGAAAUAAUUCAUGUGAUUGCUAGUAUCCUGUCUUGGCCAUUAAAAUGUAUUUCCCUAAUAAAAAAAUUAUCACCAUAUUUUAUAAGGCAUAGUCUGACAUGUCUUCUUCUUUCUCCCCAUCUCGUAUCCUGGCAUCAUCGCUCCUGAUUUCAAUAGCCAUGUGAGUGAACCAAGUAGCAUUACUGCAUCACAGUUAAAAGAUCUCAUUGAUUACAGUGAAGCCACACUUAAACUUCCCUUCAGCCACUGUUCCCAUGGCCACACUGGACCCUAUCGCCACCUGAAGCUGCUGCACAUCAGAAAUCACAGUAUGUUGUCCUUGACUUUAUAAAGACCUCCCAUUACCUGAUCUCUCCUUUUUUUUUUUUUUUUUUAAAGAAGAUGUUGGGGGUAGGAGUUUAUUUAUUUAUUUAUUUUUGCCGUGUUGGGUCUUCCUUUCUG